UGGCCUACGGGAGGCAGCAGUGGGGAAUAUUGCACAAUGGGGGAAACCCUGAUGCAGCGACGCCGCGUGAAGGAUGAAGUAUUUCGGUAUGUAAACUUCUAUCAGCAGGGAAGAAAAUGACGGUACCUGAGUAAGAAGCCCCGGCUAACUACGUGCCAGCAGCCGCGGUAAUACGUAGGGGGCAAGCGUUAUCCGGAUUUACUGGGUGUAAAGGGAGCGUAGACGGCAAUACAAGUCGGAAGUGAAAUACCCGGGCUCAACCUGGGAACUGCUUUGGAAACUGUAUGGCUGGAGUGCUGGAGAGG
RNAcentral lists this ribosomal RNA (305 nucleotides) under uncultured bacterium. RNAcentral's name for it is "bacterial SSU rRNA". It matches the Rfam family "Bacterial small subunit ribosomal RNA", at positions 335 to 657 of the family's 1533-position model. The record is from RNAcentral.